Molecule: long non-coding RNA, 766 nt
Filed under: Helianthus annuus (common sunflower)
Lineage: Eukaryota; Viridiplantae; Streptophyta; Magnoliopsida; Asterales; Asteraceae
Source: RNAcentral
UAAUCUUGGAUUGAUGUUGCUAAAGAUUACACCACUGCAUUUGGUGGAUUCGUUCUUGGUAUUGGUUAACAAGAAGGAUGAGAAUCCGAGUCUAGAUUCGACUUGCCAGUUUAUUCAUAUUAGGAGAAAUAACGGAGAAAUUGUCCUUGAUUGAUUUUUGGGAGCCAAAAUUGAGUGUUAAUUUAGGGUUUGUUCUUGCGUAAAUCGCAUGAUAAAGGAUUCCUAAAUCAAGUCGAUUCACUUCCAGGAAGACGGUGAUGAUGCUGGUGACCUGAAGAGGAACGAUGAGAAUGACAUGGGUUGAUUUAGGGUUUCUCUUGGUCUUAUGAAGGUGGUGGUUUAACACCACAACGAAAAGUCGACGGCUAGGUUUCCAGCAGCACAUAGAUCUGACCAAUUGUGGUUUCGGCCAGUAUCGGUUUUUUCAUACGUGUUGCCGGAUUUUGAGACAUGGAAUCAAUGAUAUUUUGGCCUUGAAUAAUAGUUGAAUUGAGAGAGAGAGAGAGAGAGAGAGAGAUAGAUGACGGGGAUGGUGAUGCUAACAAGAGGAGGGUGAGGAGGUGGUGAAGGAAGAGCGAUUGCCGAGCAGUUUUUGGCGACAAUGACAGAUGCGAAGCUGUAUGCUGAGCGUUUCGCUGACCUUGCUGAAAAAUUGGGCUUUGAUGGGUGGCUGCUAAUUCAACAACGCUGCUGUGCAAAACACGGUCGUUGUUUUAGCCGUUCGUGGAUUCAAUUGCAAGGUCUCGAUGGAUCUGUCACUCUUCAG